GCUUAGAUAGUUUAAGUUAAAACAUUAAUUUGUGGUAUUAAAAAUAUAUAUAUAAUAUUCUAGGUU
This 66-nucleotide transfer RNA is filed under the name Phyllodromica sp. Phil. Its description in RNAcentral is "tRNA-His". Lineage: Eukaryota; Metazoa; Arthropoda; Insecta; Blattodea; Ectobiidae. The record is from RNAcentral.